RNAcentral lists this non-coding RNA (176 nucleotides) under Burkholderiales bacterium. RNAcentral's name for it is "6S RNA". It matches the Rfam family "6S / SsrS RNA". Rfam says of the family: E. coli 6S RNA was the first non coding RNA to be sequenced, but its function was unknown until recently. It consists of 184 nucleotides that fold into an extended hairpin structure with a large single-stranded internal bulge. The record is from RNAcentral. Lineage: Bacteria; Pseudomonadati; Pseudomonadota; Betaproteobacteria; Burkholderiales.
UAUCCCCUGCGGUGUUUGUAACGGUCAGCCGUUCUUUGAACCAAUGCUUUAUGCACGGCUGCCAGUUUCGGAGACUGGUGUUCGCUUCACCCUUGGAAGCGUCUAAAAGUCUCGUUAGGCGGCCACUCUUGAACCCAGGUUCAAGAAAGCGAUCGGACGGCACAGGUGGGGGACCC